RNAcentral lists this ribosomal RNA (2769 nucleotides) under Triticum aestivum (bread wheat). Its description in RNAcentral is "partial small subunit ribosomal RNA". Lineage: Eukaryota; Viridiplantae; Streptophyta; Magnoliopsida; Poales; Poaceae. The record is from RNAcentral.
AUGGUGUUGUGCUUCAGUUGCUCGGCAAACGGAAGACUGACAUGGAUCUUGGCUUUGCUGCUCAUGAUGACUCGAGUCCAUGGCCAGCCUACUUCGGGGUUCAUAAGCCUCGACUGUGGAUACAGAAACAAUACUCCCUACAACGACAGCAGCAUAGAAGGAAUACAGUACCAGUCCGACGCUGGAUUCGUGGAGGGCGGUUUGACCCACCAAAUAUCAUCAGUGUUCAUGGCUGAUGCCGCAUCUGAGAGCGAAACAACCUUGAGGAGCUUCCCCGACGGCUCAAGGAAUUGCUACACGCUGCCAUCCACCCCUGGUAAAAAGUUUCUGGUGAGGGCCAUGUUUACUUACGGCGACUACGAUGGGUUGAACAGGAGUAUGGACGGGUCGCUGUUCCUUUUUGGGCUCCAUAUCGGCGUCAAUUUCUGGGAUACGGUGAACUUAACAAAUUGGGAUCCAUCAAUUAUAGUCUGGAAGGAGGUGCUCACCGUUGCCCCGGGCGACUCCGUCUCAGUCUGUCUGGUAAACUUUGGUUCGGGGACUCCGUUCGUGUCUUCCUUGGAGCUGAGGCCACUGCUAGAUGCGAUGUACCCUUUUGUGAAUACAUCGGUAUCAGUCGGCCAAUUUGGACGAUUCAGAUUUGGUAAUGUCACUGACUUUAUCACAAGAUAUCCAGUGGACCCUUACGACCGGUUCUGGGCGGCCUCGUCUUUCCCCUACAACACCUACCCCUGGACCAACGUGGACACUAGCAAGCAAGUGGAGAUUCUCCCGGGCGACGACUACUUCAACGUGCCGAUGGCCAUCUUCCAGAAGGCCACCACCCUAGACACAAACUACUCCAUCAUGAGUCUCGACAUGGCAAAGGGUCAGAAUCUGGACCCCGAGAGCGUCCGCCUUCUCCCAAUCUUCCACUUUGCUGAAAUUAGUGAUAACAACCCGAACAGAAGCUUUGACAUCUACAACGCCAACGAUUUGCUGCACCGGGGCUUCUCCCCGUCGCGAUUACAGGCCAACAGCUUGUACGACAGCGGGCAGUUCUUGUAUAACGGCGACGCGAUCUACACCCUGAAUAAGACGCGCAGCUCGAUCCUGCCCCCACUCAUCAACGCGUUAGAGGUGUACUCGCUCGUUUGGAUGGAAAACUUCACUACCGAGCCCGAGGAUGUCAGUUACAUGAAAGAAGUCAAGAAAAACUACAAUUUGGCACGAACAAACUGGAAUGGAGAUCCAUGCUCUCCAAGAGAGUAUUCCUGGGAAGGUUUGACUUGCGACUACUCUAAGAGAAACCAGAAUCCGAGGAUUGUCGCAGUAGAUCUGUCUACCAGUGGACUGAAAGGUGGAUUAGUCAUAACUUUCAUGAACAUGGCAUCACUGGAGAACUUGGAUUUAUCACACAACAAUUUGACAGGGCCUAUUCCAGACUACCAAAUAAAGUCACUCAAAGUUCUCGAUUUGUCAUACAACCAGCUCGAUGGACCAAUCCCUAAUUCUAUUCUUCAAAGAUCUCAGGCUGGUCUGCUUGACUUAAGAUUAGAAGGCAAUCCUGUAUGCUCAAAAGUCAAAGAUACGUAUUGUUCAAAUAAUAAGAAGAAAACCACAUCUACCAUGGCGAUCGCAGUGAUAGUUCCUGUAGUGCUGGUAUCCCUCCUAGUAGUGAUGUGCAUUCUAUGGAAAUUGUGCUGGAAAGGAAAGUCGGGAGACAGUGAGAAUUAUGCUAUGUAUGAAGAGGAAACACCCCUACAUAUUGAUAUCAGACGGUUCACGUACGCAGAGCUGAAGCAUAUAACAAACGACUUCCAUUCAAUCGUUGGAAAAGGAGGUUUUGGCACUGUUUAUCAUGGCACAAUGGAAAAUGGUGAUGAAGUAGCUGUUAAGGUGCUCAUGGAGACAUCAAUAGUAGAGUCAACAGACUUCCUUCCUGAGGUGCAAACCUUGUCCAAAGUUCAUCACAAGAAUCUCGUGACUCUACAAGGAUAUUGCCAGAACAAGAAGUGCCUAGCUCUCGUUUAUGACUUCAUGCACAGAGGAAAUCUUCAACAGCUUUUAAGAGAAGGAGAUGACUACAGUUUGAAUUGGGAACAACGGCUUCAUAUUGCACUUGAUUCAGCACAAGGACUGGAAUAUCUACAUGAGUCAUGCACCCCAUCAAUAGUUCACAGAGAUGUCAAGACUGCCAACAUCCUUCUGGACAAGAACCUGGUGGGGAUAAUAGCUGAUUUUGGGCUUUCGCGCGCUUUUAACGAUGCACACACACACAUAUCUACUGUUGCUGCUGGAACUCUUGGCUACCUUGAUCCCGAGUACCACGCAACUUUCCAGCUCACCAUCAAGACAGACGUUUACAGCUUUGGCAUCGUGCUCUUGGAGAUCAUCACUGGCAAGCCCCCGAUAUUGAUGGACCCUCACACCUACCACCUACCAAACUGGGUACGCCAAAAGAUUGCAAAAGGCAGUAUUCAAGAUAUCGUGGACAAGAGGCUGUUGGAUCAGAAUGACCCCAGUUCCCUGCAGGGUGUGGUGGACCUGGCCAUGAAAUGCGUAGAAAGUGCAGCCAUCGACAGGCCGAGCAUGACUGAGGUUGUUUCAAGGCUAAAAGUGUUGUUGCCAACAACUCUGAGCGAAAAACAGUAUGCUUCCGCGUCCUCUACGAAGUCCAUGAAUGACGAAAUGCGAAGGCAAUUCCACUUGUUGAUUUCUGGAGAAGGCAACGACGAGAGCUCCAGCUCGAGCAGGAUGACAGAAUUGAUCCCCUUAUCUGGACGGUGA